CGCGUAGGCGGUUUGUUAAGUCAGAUGUGAAAGCCCGGGGCUCAACCCCGGAAGUGCAUUUGAUACUGGCGGACUUGAGUAUGGGAGAGGGAAGUGGAAUUCCUGGUGUAGAGGUGAAAUUCGUAGAUAUCAGGAGGAACACCGGUGGCGAAGGCGACUUCCUGGACCAAUACUGACGCUGAGGCGCGAAGGCGUGGGUAGCAAACA
This 207-nucleotide ribosomal RNA is filed under the name uncultured bacterium. RNAcentral describes it as "partial 16S ribosomal RNA". It matches the Rfam family "Bacterial small subunit ribosomal RNA", at positions 568 to 774 of the family's 1533-position model. The record is from RNAcentral.